RNAcentral lists this ribosomal RNA (266 nucleotides) under uncultured archaeon. RNAcentral's name for it is "partial 16S ribosomal RNA". It matches the Rfam family "Archaeal small subunit ribosomal RNA", at positions 718 to 982 of the family's 1478-position model. The record is from RNAcentral.
AGUCACUGACAUUAGAUACCCCCGUAGUCCAGGGUGUAAACGCUGCAGACUUGGUGCUAGAAGCCCGUUUGGGGGCAUUCAGUGCCGGAGAGAAGUUGUUAAGUCUGCUACGUUGGGAGUACGUCCGCAAGGAUGAAACUUAAAGGAAUUGGCGGGGGAGCACCGCAACGGGAGGAGCGUGCGGUUUAAUUGGAUUCAACACCGUAAAACUCACCAGGGAAGACUGUUACAUGAAGGCCGAGAUGAAGACUCUGCUAGAUUUUCAG